This 178-nucleotide antisense RNA is filed under the name Leptolyngbya sp. 'hensonii'. RNAcentral's name for it is "Antisense RNA which regulates isiA expression". It matches the Rfam family "Antisense RNA which regulates isiA expression". Lineage: Bacteria; Bacillati; Cyanobacteriota; Cyanophyceae; Leptolyngbyales; Leptolyngbyaceae. The record is from Rfam by way of RNAcentral.
AAUAGCCAAAAAUUGUCAGUGGAUUCAGCGUGGGAUUGGUAAUGAGACGCACGCUAGAGAUCGCCGGAUCAUACAAACCACCGAUAAACACGGCUUUCAGCACGAGCAAUAAUGCACCCACCCCCAGCAGCACCAGAUGAAUGCCCAGAAUGGAGGUCAUUUUGCGACCAUCUUCCCA